RNAcentral lists this ribosomal RNA (221 nucleotides) under uncultured bacterium. RNAcentral's name for it is "partial 16S ribosomal RNA". It matches the Rfam family "Bacterial small subunit ribosomal RNA", at positions 130 to 334 of the family's 1533-position model. The record is from RNAcentral.
CCUAGAGGGGGACGGAACAGUUGGAAACGACUGCUAAUACCGCAUACGAUCUAAUCUCGGCAUCGAGGAUGGAUGAAAGGUGGCCUCUAUUUAUAAGCUAUCACUGAAGGAGGGGAGUUGCGUCUGAUUAGCUAGUUGGAGGGGUAACGGCCCACCAAGGCGAUGAUCAGUAGCCGGUCUGAGAGGAUGAACGGCCACAUUGGGACUGAGACACGGCCCAG